GAUGAACGCUGGCGGCGUGCCUAAUACAUGCAAGUCGAGCGAACAGAUGAGGAGCUUGCUCCUCUGACGUUAGCGGCGGACGGGUGAGUAACACGUGGAUAACCUACCUAUAAGACUGGGAUAACUUCAGGAAACCGGAGCUAAUACCGGAUAAUAUAUUGAACCGCAUGGUUCAAUAGUGAAAGACGGUUUUGCUGUCACUUAUAGAUGGAUCCGCGCCGCAUUAGCUAGUUGGUAAGGUAACGGCUUACCAAGGCAACGAUGCGUAGCCGACCUGAGAGGGUGAUCGGCCACACUGGAACUGAGACACGGUCCAGACUCCUACGGGAGGCAGCAGUAGGGAAUCUUCCGCAAUGGGCGAAAGCCUGACGGAGCAACGCCGCGUGAGUGAUGAAGGUCUUCGGAUCGUAAAACUCUGUUAUUAGGGAAGAACAAAUGUGUAAGUAACUAUGCACGUCUUGACGGUACCUAAUCAGAAAGCCACGGCUAACUACGUG
RNAcentral lists this ribosomal RNA (497 nucleotides) under uncultured bacterium. Its description in RNAcentral is "partial 16S ribosomal RNA". It matches the Rfam family "Bacterial small subunit ribosomal RNA", at positions 28 to 507 of the family's 1533-position model. The record is from RNAcentral.